UGGCAUCAUAACCCUUGUUUUUAUCCUUCCCUUCUCAGUUCCCUUUCCCCACUCUACUUAGGAUUUCCUUGAGAAUAUAUCCUAUUGAUUCACUUGCACCAGAAUCUUCUCUCUGGAUUUGCUUCUCGGAACCUAGCUUGAUGGAAAUGAGGGCAUUUGGGUGUCUCUUUUCCUUUAGGGGAAGUUUCAUUCGUUGCCCAGGCUGGAGUGCAGUAGUGCGAUCUUGGCUCACUGCAGCCUCUGUCUCCUGCCCACAGGUUCAAGUGAUUCUCCUGCUUCAGCCUCCUGAGUAGCUGGGCUUAUAGGCACCCACCACCAUGCCCAGCUAAUUUUCAUAUUUUUAGUAGAGAUGGGGUUUCACCAUGUCGUCCAGGCUGGUCUUGAACUCCUGGCCUCAAGUGAUCUCCACCUACCUCAGUCUCUCAAAGUGCUGGGAUUACAGGUGUGAGCCACUGUGCCUGGUCAAAAUGGGAGCAUUUGGAUUUCUUGACCAUGGCUCAUGUUUCCAAUCAUGGUGACUCUUUCUCCUGCAACAGGAAGGACCUUCUAAUGGAAAACAACAACAACCAAUCGUACUAUCGGGUGAUAAGCAAGAGAAGACAAGGAACCAUCAGGACUUUACAUAUCAGGACAAGUCUAUAGAAUUUCAAAUUGGACUUUUCUUGAGCAAAGACAGCACAGCCAUGGAUUGCUGUCAAGUCCCAGACUUCCCAUUUGUAGAGAUGAAGUUCAGGUGUUUGGAGGGGCUGCUCCCCCGUCUCCAUACAAGGAUUUUAGGAAGACAAGAUGGUAUGGAAUUUAAUAACUUUUCUGACAAUACUAUAAAGGUGAUGGCAGGGCUAUGUGUCCCUGAGAUUUUAAUGGUUUGUAAUACUUUAAGGGGACCCGAUGAUCCUUCUGUAACCUACUUCAGAGGAAAACAUUUAUUAUUAACACUGGUUUAACACUUAACUUUCUAGGGUAUUUGUGGAUGACACAGUCAUACAUCUGCCUUUUUAUAGUGCUUUGCAGCAGAGCACAAGACCUUCUGGCUGACACCUCAUAGAUCAUCAAAAUUAAGACCUCUAGGCAAGCAGAAGAAAGUAGGGCGGGGGUAGGGUGGGGACAGCAACUAACUCAAAAGGUUUCCAAGUUAACUUUCCUUUAGAGAGAGAACAUUUUCAUUACAGAGCAAAUUAUUCUUAACAUUAAGACGUUCUUGUUUCCAUGGCAACCCACAACAAUCUGAAAUAGUUCUCGGUGGCCAUACAGCAAAGUGAUGUUUCCUAUCUGAUUGGUGGCUGGCAAUGAUGAACUCAGAGCUGGGAUCAGCCAGCCAAGGGUCACCCUCCAACUGCUUGGCAUUCAACACCCCAGCCCUUCUGCGUUAAAUCCAGAAGAAAUCUGCAACUAAGAGAUCCAGGACUAAAGGUUUUCUGUCUCCAGCAUAAACCGUAUCACUAUAGUGUAUGAAGUUUUGCUGGAGACUUAAAAGAUUAUAUUAUCAGAAAACUAUGAUACAAGGAAGAAAAAUGUCUAAGCUGAGUGAACAUCCCCUCUUGGUCCAGGGUUGGCUGACAGUUUGGAAUCUCUUUUGCCUGUCCAUAAAAAGACAAGCAAGGGACAAUUUUAUGUAAUUUUGGAUACUCUUGUGCCCAUGAGCCUCCUUCCCUCAAAGUGACAAAAUGUGACAUCUGGGGAUUGCCUUAUUUUCCACCGCUCUUUAGCCAAUCAUGUCUGCAGAACUUUAUCUGGGCCACAAAACCUACUUUGUAACAAAGGACCCCAACCUUUAUGUUGAAAUGGAAUAACCAGGUUUUUGUCUCCAUGCCCUGGGACCAGUAAUACUUUUGAGAAGGAAAAGAGAAAAUAACCAUGACAAAGAAAAUUCUCUGAGAAGAGGAUAAGGACCCCAAAACAGCCACUGGGACAAUUCUUGCUGGAGAUGACAUGAAACCUUGCAUCUUUUCCACUAUGAUGCGGCUGCUGUUUUCUCUGGGCUGUCAGGAAUCAACGGUGUGUUAGAUGAAAUGUAAAACCCAUCCAUCUGCUGGAAUCCUUUUCCUUGUCUUCUUUUGUCAACGGUGUGACAUUAACAACACCAUAUGACAGUUGCGCCAUGCAUCAAGUACAUGUCUGUUGGUUUCCAAAUGAUUUGUCCAGAGAGAAAUAGAGCAUUACGACCCAAAAAAGGCAGGCGAGGAGAAGGAGCUCUGCCCCCUGCUGUUGCUGAUCAGUAAAGCUCCCCUAGAGGCACUGUACCACGGAAGCUGGAGAGAAGCAGAAAAAGCCUUCUGCGCUCUGGGAAAAAGAAAAGCAACCGUGGGGAGAGGCUGCAACUGCCACUACUGGAAGGAUAAAAACAACUGCCUGUAGCCAUCGCCUGCCCUCAUGGCUGUCCUUUCAUCCAAUCUGGAAUAGUCACUACCGACUUAUGCCAUAUUUUUUGUUUUUAAAUCCUAAACGAUGAGACAUAUCCAUCUUCUGUCUCAGUUGUAUGUGUGUGUGUGUGAUGGGGUGGAUAUUUACGAGCAACAACAAAACCCCUGAAACUGUAGUUUUGAUCCACCAUGGCACAGAAGACUUUCCGGUAGGCGAGACGGGGGUGUCCGCCCAUAACCUUCAUGUGGAGGAAGACACAGGUCCUAUUUAACAUUACCCAUGUUUGCAUGACUAAUCAGAGGGCGUGCACUGCCGGUGAGUCGAUCAUAAAGGUGACCAAAUAGGACUGGAUUGUUUGGUGACUGACAAUAAACUGUUCAAGGCUGAUUUAAAAUGCUUGGAUCCAUUCCUCUUCUAGGAGCCUUGCUUCAAGUGCUUAUCUGCUCUCGUAGUCUCCUCCUCUGUGCCCUCCCCAAACACUCCAUUUUCUUCCAUGGCCCUCCUCCCUCCCUGCUUCCCUUUCCCUCUCCUGCCUGCACAAGUGCCAAUACAGAGUCUUCAUUUCCUUCCACCCCGGCUGUCCUUUCUCCCUGCUGAUGUAGGCAGGCCGGUGUCCAGGAUGAAAAUGGCUUUUCCUUUGACCCAGUGAACCUGAUGGGCAACGUCUCUGUAGGCCAGUGGGUGGGGAACACUUUUGAGUCACACUGGCAGAGAAAGAUGGGAGGAAGGGGCUUUGUCAGACCCCAGCAUUCCCUCCCUCAUCUAAUUUGGACCCAACCAACUCCAAGGCCUCCUAGUAUGAGAUUCAUCCCUCAUCAAUGUCUUUA
RNAcentral lists this long non-coding RNA (3188 nucleotides) under Callithrix jacchus (white-tufted-ear marmoset). RNAcentral's name for it is "lncRNA (ENSCJAG00000085495.1)". Lineage: Eukaryota; Metazoa; Chordata; Mammalia; Primates; Cebidae. The record is from RNAcentral.